AGAGUUUGAUCCUGGCUCAAGAUGAACGCUUUCGGCGUGCUUAACACAUGCAAGUCGAACGAAGCACUUUACCGGAUUUCUUCGGGAUGAAAGUUUUGUGACUGAGUGGCGGACGGGUGAGUAACGCGUGGGUAACCUGCCUCAUACGGGGGGAUAACAGUUAGAAAUGACUGCUAAUACCGCAUAAGACCACAGGAUUGCAUGAUCCGGUGGUAAAAACUCCGGUGGUAUGAGAUGGACCCGCGUCUGAUUAGGUAGUUGGUGGGAUAACGGCUCACCAAGCCGACGAUCAGUAGCCGACCUGAGAGGGUGACCGGCCACAUUGGGACUGAGACACGGCCCAAACUCCUACGGGAGGCAGCAGUGGGGAAUAUUGCACAAUGGGGGAAACCCUGAUGCAGCGACGCCGCGUGAGCGAUGAAUUAUUUCGGUAUGUAAAGCUCUAUCAGCAGGGAAGAAAAUGACGGUACCUGACUAAGAAGCACCGGCUAAAUACGUGCCAGCAGCCGCGGUAAUACGUAUGGUGCAAGCGUUAUCCGGAUUUACUGGGUGUAAAGGGAGCGUAGACGGAGAGGCAAGUCUGAUGUGAAAACCCGGGGCUUCCCCCCGGGGCCUCCCUUGGAAAACUGUUUUUUUUAGAGUGUCGGAAAGGUAAGUGGGAUUCCUUGUGUAGCGGUGAAAUGCGUAAAAUAUAAGGAGGGACCCCCGUGGCGAAAGGGGGCUUACCGGACGAUGACUGACGUUGAGGCUCGAAAGCGUGGGGAGCAACCAGGAUUAGAUACCCUGGUAGUCCACGCCGUAAACGAUGACUGCUAGGUGUCGGGAGGCAAAGCCUUUCGGUCCCGCAGCAAACGCAAUAAGCAGUCCACCUGGGGAGUACGUUCGCAAGAAUGAAACUCAAAGGAAUUGACGGGGACCCGCACAAGCGGUGGAGCAUGGGGUUUAAUUCGAAGCAACGCGAAGAACCUUACCUGCCCUUGACAUCCGGCUGACCGGCGAGUAAUGUCGCCUUUCCUUCGGGACAGCCGAGACAGGUGGUGCAUGGUUGUCGUCAGCUCGUGUCGUGAGAUGUUGGGUUAAGUCCCGCAACGAGCGCAACCCUUAUCUUUAGUAGCCAGCAUUUCGGAUGGGCACUCUAGAGAGACUGCCAGGGAUAACCUGGAGGAAGGUGGGGAUGACGUCAAAUCAUCAUGCCCCUUAUGGGCAGGGCUACACACGUGCUACGAUGGCGUAAACAAAGGGAGGCAGACCUGCGAGGGUGAGCAAAUCCCAAAAAUAACGUCUCAGUUCGGAUUGUAGUCUGCAACUCGACUACAUGAAGCUGGAAUCGCUAGUAAUCGCGAAUCAGAAUGUCGCGGUGAAUACGUUCCCGGGUCUUGCACA
RNAcentral lists this ribosomal RNA (1383 nucleotides) under uncultured bacterium. RNAcentral describes it as "bacterial SSU rRNA". It matches the Rfam family "Bacterial small subunit ribosomal RNA". The record is from RNAcentral.